UGAGGAAUAUUGGUCAAUGGACGCAAGUCUGAACCAGCCAUGCCGCGUGCAGGAAUAAGGUCUUAUGGAUUGUAAACUGCUUUUGUGCGAGAAGAAAAAGUUCUACGAGUAGAAUUUUGACGGUAUCGUAAGAAUAAGGAUCGGCUAACUCCGUGCCAGCAGCCGCGGUAAUACGGAGGAUCCGAGCGUUAUCCGGAAUCAUUGGGUUUAAAGGGUCUGUAGGCGGUUUAGUAAGUCAGUGGUGAAAUGCAAUCGCUCAACGGAUGAAUUGCCAUUGAUACUGCUAGGCUUGAAUUGUUAGGAAGUAAUUAGAAUAUGUAGUGUAGCGGUGAAAUGCUUAGAUAUUACAUGGAAUACCGAUUGCGAAGGCAGGUUACUACUAAUAGAUUGACGCUGAUGG
This 400-nucleotide ribosomal RNA is filed under the name uncultured bacterium. RNAcentral describes it as "bacterial SSU rRNA". It matches the Rfam family "Bacterial small subunit ribosomal RNA", at positions 355 to 752 of the family's 1533-position model. The record is from RNAcentral.